AUUGAACGCUGGCGGCAGGCUUAACACAUGCAAGUCGAGCGGGGGAAGGUAGCUUGCUACCGGACCUAGCGGCGGACGGGUGAGUAAUGCUUAGGAAUCUGCCUAUUAGUGGGGGACAACAUCUCGAAAGGGAUGCUAAUACCGCAUACGUCCUACGGGAGAAAGCAGGGGAUCUUCGGACCUUGCGCUAACAGAUGAGCCUAAGUCGGAUUAGCUAGUUGGUGGGGUAAAGGCCUACCAAGGCGACGAUCUGUAGCGGGUCUGAGAGGAUGAUCCGCCACACUGGGACUGGGACACGGCCCAGACUCCUACGGGAGGCAGCAGUGGGGAAUAUUGGAAAAUGGGGGGAACCCUGAUCCAGCCAUGCCGCGUGUGUGAAGAAGGCCUUAUGGUUGUAAAGCACUUUAAGCGAGGAGGAGGCUACUCUAGUUAAUACCUAGGGAUAGUGGACGUUACUCGCAGAAUAAGCACCGGCUAACUCUGUGCCAGCCGCCGCGGUAA
This 501-nucleotide ribosomal RNA is filed under the name uncultured bacterium. RNAcentral's name for it is "partial 16S ribosomal RNA". It matches the Rfam family "Bacterial small subunit ribosomal RNA", at positions 30 to 523 of the family's 1533-position model. The record is from RNAcentral.